GUGGAAGGGCUUGUUUCUCCCCGUCGCAUGGUAUUCUUCUAGAGUGGAGUGUGGCGUCAUCUAUUGACCAAAAACAAACCAGUCCAGCCCAGAUCUCCGAGGUGAAAAGCGUUUUUUUACCAUUAAUUUUAAUGAAUUUGUCAGAUUUGCCCGGGUUCUCGGGUUUAUAGUACUGGUGAAUUAACGCAAGCUAGGUCCGUUUUUAUUAUACUCAGAAACGAUCCAGUUAUAGAUAGCCCCGAUAGAUGGACGGGAACAGAUCCGGUGGAGGCCAGGCCAAACUUUAGCCAUCUCCGCCGUUAUCCGGUGGCUAACGGGUGUUCUCCAGACUAGGCGAAUCGGAUGACAAAGGAAAACGUUCGGGCCAGGUAGAGGACUCGGGUCUGGUAACUCCCGAAAAAUUUUUUCGAGGUGCUGAGACCGGUCCGACCCCCCUCGAUCGGGAUGGUUACACCCGUGGUUAGACCCUUAAGCCUGGUACUCACAUGCGGAAAGCUUCAACACAAAUUGCCGUUCCGCUGUCUUUCCGCCUUCAUUUUAAAGCGUGUACCCACAAGCGAAAAAGUUUGUCGACGGAAUUCUAUUGGCCGCCUUCUAUCGACGGUAGGCCGAAAUAAGAAUAUAAACACACAACAUGGUGCCGGAAAAUGUUGUGACUUUGUCAUUUGAAUUU
This 673-nucleotide long non-coding RNA is filed under the name Androctonus crassicauda. Lineage: Eukaryota; Metazoa; Arthropoda; Arachnida; Scorpiones; Buthidae. The record is from RNAcentral.